This is a long non-coding RNA of Sarcophilus harrisii (Tasmanian devil), 191 nucleotides long. RefSeq lists it as uncharacterized. The record is from RefSeq and is a predicted model, not a curated record. The transcript has 2 exons. Lineage: Eukaryota; Metazoa; Chordata; Mammalia; Dasyuromorphia; Dasyuridae.
CGGAGGCUUGAUGCUGGGGAGGAGCUCCCUGUGUUCAUUUUCCACUGAGAUAAUCCAGCAAUUCUGAUAACAGCUAUUCAACCUGGCUUUAUCCUACCUCCUGGAUAGUCAUGGAUAAAAUCAUCUCAGAUUAAGGACCUGCCUGCCAUCUCCAGAUCAGCUAUCUUUUAAAGAAAGGAGUUAAGGAAGGG